GAGAUCCCACUCUACUUUGUGGACUUGCAGGAUGACUUAGAGGACUAGCCCACUGUGCGGACUGAGCUGAUGGGGCAAAUCCUUCCCAUUGUUGCUUUCUUACAAGAAAGCAGGUUGGAUUUUCCUGUGGUGGUCUCCCAGUACAUCCUGCCUGUUGGAGCACGGUACCUUGAGGAUCCAGACAACCAGGUCAGAAAACCCAGCCAGGAAGCGCUACUGGCCCUUCUGGAGCAAGGUCUCAUUUCCCAGUGUGACACUGAAGGCUAAGUGUGUCCUGCUCUGCUGGAGCGGUCUGCUCCCAGCCGUGAUGAUGAAUGCAGAAAGAAGGCCAUGAGCGUAAUCUGCAAAAUGGCGGCCAUGCUGACCAUGCACAGUUGAACGCCUGCUGCUGCCUUGAAUGGUGUGGUGCCUGGAAACUCUUCCAAGUUUGGAAGGUGUGUACCGUGCAUUUUGGCGAUAUUUGUCAUCCUGUCUGGACAAGAAGCCACUGAGAAGGUUUUGAUACCAACAUUUUUUGAGCUCUGCUCAGAUAACAUGCAGAAAGCAUGUUCAGAGUGCUUCACAGCUGUAUCCCACACUUCCCCCUGUGGUCUGCAGAACCCAGCUCUCGACUGUGUUCAUCAAACUCCUCAGUGAUCCCCAUCGAUAGAGCACCUGUGUGUGCACACAGAGCCACAUGUACUUCCGGAAGGAGCUUCAGCUGAGACCAGUCAUCUGCACAGCAGCUCUUCCACAGACACAACAGGGAACCCUUCCGAAGCCGGGGCUGAAGUGAUGGGAAGUUCUUCAGGCCGCAGGCCCUUCCCAAAGCUCCUGAUAUCAGCCACUGCCUCAGCAACAGUUACCCUGAAACAGAGCAGACACUACCGAGGGAGGGAGGGAGGGAGAGAGGGAGGGCAGGCUGGCGGGCGUGCUCAGUACUUGACUGUAUGGGCACACUCCUCUGCCUUAUAGAGCUAAGAUAUGGAGGUGCUUAGGGAGCCUGGGCCACUAAAAGGAAGCCACAUUGGGCCUGAGGCUGCAUGUGACAGUUAGGUGGCCAGGAGCAAGAUCCAGAAAGUCCUUCAGAAUUUGCAGGGACAUCUGCUGCAUGACCCAGACAUUCACGGUGAGAGCAGGAUGUGUGCCUGUGUGGUGAGGUACUCAUACGCAGAGUUUGGUAUCUCUAGGCAGCACCUGCUUCCGAUGUCUGGCUUCCUUGUUGUAGGCAACGUGUGUACAGCCUGAGGGACCCCAGCCAGAACAGAGGACAGUGCUUGGGCACAUCUGUGCUGGUGGAAGGUUUAUUAGCUCCAGAGACAGUGACAUCAUUUCCCAAGUUGUGUAUCCUUUCUGGCCACAGACAUCUCGGGCAGCCUUCCUUUGGAACCCAUAAGCUCGGGUCUUCACUAAUUCCUAAGGUUUCUUUCCUAAGCAGAUAGGUGCUUUUCAUUUCAUGAUUAAUGCUCCCACCUACCAAGUGUAGGUGGGGUCUAGGAGCUGGUCUCCUAAUCCCAUUGUUGUGCAACCCCAGUUAGUCCUCAGGGCUCUGCAGUGCUGUGCUUGGGUUUGUGCCACGUGAGAGAGAUUAGAGAAACAACACUUGCUGCUGUUGCUGGGCAAAGGCUUCUGCUGCUCUGAGGAGAGGAAAUGUGAAGACCCAGUUCGCCCCAUGAUUAGUCUUUGUCUGCCAGUCUCUGAGUGAAGGAACCCGUGAUUGCCGAAGGGAUGAACAAGUGGUCCACUUGUACAGGCUGCAGGCAGAGGCUGCGGUGGCUGCACAGACAACAGCUUGUCCCAGUAACAGCCGGUCAGGGCUGGCCAGCAGUGACCCUUGGAGUCUGGUGGAGGGGCUUGUGUAGGCAGCUUUGCCUGGGUGAGGUGAGGACUGAGAGACGAGUGUCCAGAAGAGGCACUGGGCAGGAAGCUGGUCAUUUCUGGGGGUAGAGAAAAUAUCAGGGGAUCCUCAUCCUGCGGGUCCUGUUCCUGGGAGGCUGCUAUUUGCACUGCUCUGCACAUAUUUACAUAGCUAAUUUCUCACUAAGGAAGGACUGUUAGCUUUGCUCAGAUCUCAGAGGGGUCACUAACCCUCAGAGAUUCAGAAACAAAUGACACAUUUCACAUUCUGGCUGUUGCAAAGGGCCUGGUGUGCUGUGCUUGGGAGGUAAGACUUCUCCCAGCACAGUGGGGAGCCAGCUACAAGCUCUGAGCAUUGGAGAGGAUAUUUGUAUUGUAGGAACAGCAUGCAAGGGUGGGGGUAGGGCAUGUGUCAUGUACCCUGGAGAUGGAAAUGUACAGUUUUAAUUUGUGUAGAAAAAUAGGUGAAGUAGGUCCUUUGAGCCCCUACACUAGUGUGCAAAUAAACUUAUGUGUAUGCGCAUGCAUAUGUGUUAAUAGGAAGGGGAGCAGCCAUCCUGCUUUAUAAGUGGGGCAUACAACACCCCUUGUCAAGGAGGAUGGCCUCCCAGACUCCUCUGCUGGCUAACCUUACUCUUUGUUUUGUGAGAGACAGUGGCGUUGAACUGAUUUUCCUUGGUAGAUGUGUUUUGAAUCCAGAUGUGCUGCUCUGUUUGACUGAUGAUCAGUUGGAAUGGUCACAUUAGUGGCCAGCAUCACAGCUGGCAGGGGGCUCCCGCUGAGACUCCAGAGUCUGGCACCAAGCAUUCUUCAGGAGGUACAUGUGCCUCUAGGAAGAGCCCCAUUCCCAGGCCAAAGCUUGGUGCAUAUCCCUCUGAAAUGAACCCAGGAUCCAUCCGCAUUAAGUUAUUAAAAUCUUUCAAAAAAUGUUUUGAGACAGGCUGUUACAUAGCCCAAGCUAGUCUGAACCUUGUUUUGUAAGAGAGGGUGAUUUCAAACUUCUGAUUUUUUUACUGCCACCUUCCAAGUGCUGGGAAACACAUAAGUGCAGCUUAUGGGGUGCAGGGGGUAGAAAGCGGGGUUUUCCCAGCCCCAUGCUGUCACUAGAACGCUUGCUGCUUCUCCUCCUGCUGCUCAGGCUCAGGUAUUACCUGCCUGCCUGCCGCAUUGAGAGCAAGCAGCUCAACUCUGCUCUGCUGGUGAACCCAAGAGCACGCAGACACACAGUCUGAAGGAAGAGCCUGUGUCAGAUCCCAGCCCUGCCUCUGACCAUCACAUCCUCCCGUCAGCUUCAUCAUCUCAGAAUGAGCUCUCGGCGGAGGCCAGGAUAUUACAGAGCACAGAUAUGAUCCCUCAGCCUCUGCUCCACCAGUUCGUUUCCAUGACUAAUCCACUGAGAGCCCAGACUGUGGACACUGUCUUAGCCAAGCACUGUGUGCACUGUGGCCUCCCUGGGCCUCAGCUGCCAGAACUAGCAGUGCCUGAAGGACACUUGUGAAACGUUGGCUUCAGAUGUUCAGUGGAGUCCGCCUCGCCCUCGCCUGCCUUCUCCAUUCAGGAACUGGCAGUGAUUCGCAGGGAUCAGCUGACAGCAGCCGACCUGGUGCUUAUCUUCAGUGGCUUCUUGAAGGAUCUGGACAAAGACAAGAGGAGAGUGCACCUCUGCCAGCUGCAGAGGUUGGUGGUGACUGACAGCAGCCGGAACUGGAGGUUUCCAUAUGAACAGAGUGAGCAGAGUUACAGCUAGUCAUCUCACAAAUAAUUGUCUUCCUGAAGAAAUCCAUCAGGCUUUUGCAGCUACGUAGGAUAUGAUUUGGCCGGUGCCGGGGGCAAACUGGAAGAUUUUCUCUUUGCUGUGAGCUUUAAUCAUUAUCCUUAAUUUGA
RNA transcript from Mus caroli (Ryukyu mouse), 3720 nucleotides. It is a transcript of the gene named putative serine/threonine-protein phosphatase 4 regulatory subunit 1-like, with no coding region annotated. The record is from RefSeq and is a predicted model, not a curated record. Lineage: Eukaryota; Metazoa; Chordata; Mammalia; Rodentia; Muridae.